This 575-nucleotide ribosomal RNA is filed under the name Salinivibrio sp. KP-1. Its description in RNAcentral is "bacterial LSU rRNA". It matches the Rfam family "Bacterial large subunit ribosomal RNA", at positions 2368 to 2925 of the family's 2925-position model. The record is from RNAcentral. Lineage: Bacteria; Pseudomonadati; Pseudomonadota; Gammaproteobacteria; Vibrionales; Vibrionaceae.
CUUAACUGCGAGAGUGACGGCUCGAGCAGGUACGAAAGUAGGUCAUAGUGAUCCGGUGGUUCUGAAUGGAAGGGCCAUCGCUCAACGGAUAAAAGGUACUCCGGGGAUAACAGGCUGAUACCGCCCAAGAGUUCAUAUCGACGGCGGUGUUUGGCACCUCGAUGUCGGCUCAUCACAUCCUGGGGCUGAAGUCGGUCCCAAGGGUAUGGCUGUUCGCCAUUUAAAGUGGUACGCGAGCUGGGUUUAGAACGUCGUGAGACAGUUCGGUCCCUAUCUGCCGUGGGCGUUGGAUGAUUGAGGGGAGCUGCUCCUAGUACGAGAGGACCGGAGUGGACGAACCGCUGGUGUUCGGGUUGUGUCGCCAGACGCAUUGCCCGGUAGCUAAGUUCGGCACAGAUAAGCGCUGAAAGCAUCUAAGCGCGAAGCUGGCCCCGAGAUGAGUCAUCCCUAGAGCUUCGAGCUCUCUAAAGGGUUGUUCUAGACUAGAACGUUGAUAGGCAGGGUGUGUAAGCGCUGUGAGGCGUUGAGCUAACCUGUACUAAUUGCCCGUGAGGCUUAACCAUACAACACCCAAG